GCAUCAGCUACAAACAGGCAGCAAGGAGCCAGAGCACUGGAAUUCAACUACAAAGUUCAGGGGACAAGCUCAAGAUGCUGAUUCAGUUAUCCAACAUCUUCAUCAACCUUUCCAAGCCCGUGUCAUCUGCAGACUGAAUCAGAAUCAGCUUCCAACUAUAGUCUCAUCGAAAUCACUGACUCUUUGCUCAUACUACUUAUUUUCCCUUCAUGACUGGCUACUUCUCUUCCUCUUCAUCUCUCCAAAUGGUAUUUAUUCUUUAAAAUCCACCUCGUUCAUUCCCUUUUUUUGUCUGUUUUUGAGACAGAGUUUCGCUUUUGUCACCCAGGCUGGAGUGCAAUGGUGCGAUCUCGGCUCAGUGCAACUCUGCCCCCUGGGUUCCAGCGAUUCUCCUGCCUCAGCCUCCAGAGUAGCUGCGAUUACAGGUGCCCACCCACCACGUCCGGCUAAUUUUUUAUUUUUAGUAGAGACAGGGUUUCACCAUAUGGGCCAGGCUGUUCUCAAACUCCUGACCUCAGGUGAUCCACCCGCGUUGGCCUCCCAAAAUGCUGGGAUUACAGGCACCUGGCCUCAUUUAUUCUUUAAAUAAGAGAAACAACUUCAAAACAGGUUGAUUAAGUGCUAUAACAGGUAAGCACAGAGUGCUCAUGAACAUAAGAGGUUAAGCCUACCUGGGUAGGGACAGGAAAUAUGGGGGACUUAAUGAAGUUUCAAGGAGGAGUGACUCUAUCUAACCUUAAAAGAUGAGUAUAAGCCAGAAAGAGAAGGGAAGGAAUAAAGUUGCUACAUAAAGUUAUAGCUAAUGCAAAUUCAUGGAGACAAGAAAAAGCUUAUGUUCAAAGAACUGCACAUAAUUAGGAAUAGCUGAAAGACAACUAGGUAGUGGCGAGAUAGGAUGGUAUGGGCCAAAUCAAGACCUUUCAUGACAAGCUUAAGGAACCCGAACUUUAUCCUAUAGGUAAGGGGAAGCAUUGAAAGAUUUUAAAUUGGAGAAUGACAUGCUCAGAUUUGUGUUUAAGAAAAAUUUUGGCUGCCUUUUCUGACAACUCCAGUUCUCAACAGUCUCUGUGUCCUCCAAAUAUCUAUGUUACUUACUGGGCUAAUCACUCAAUCAGCACUUAUAUAAUUAUAUAGUGUUCUGAACUUUUAAUAUGCUUAUUCUUAUAUUACCAGGGAGAUCAUUAACUCCUUGAAGAGAACAUGAUUUACUUUUUUGUAUUUCCCACAACUUGCAACACCUAAAGUUCUACAUAGUAAGAACUAAAACAUAAAACCACCGGAGAGCGUUCUCAAUUGGCCAAGUAUGAUUAGAAGAUUGGUAAAAGAAACACACAAAAUGAAAUCAGAACUGAGUUACCUACAAGAAUCCAGUUCAAUAUCUAAAAACCUCAAAACCAUGCCAGGCAAGGUGGCUUAUGCCUGUAAUCCUAGCACUUUGGGAGGCCGAGGCAGAAGGAUCACUUGAGCCUGGGAGUUUGAGGCUGCAGCAAGCUAUCAUUGUGCCACUGCACUCUAGCAGGGACAACAGACUGAGACCCUGCCUGAAAAAACAAAAUCACAACACGCCAGUAUCACUUGUGUGCUGAGAUAAGAAGGCAGGGUGGAAAAAUCAGAGCUAACUAAAGUUGUGUCCAUUACAUUUUCACACGAUAUCAGGCCCACUGUGCUUCACUAUAUUCAUUACCUUCAUAGCCAAAAACAGUCUGAUUCUAAUUUUAAAAAUUCUCACUCUAAAGAUAGAAGUGUUUUUUCUUUUUUUUAUAAUUUCUUUUUUUUAUAAAAGCUAUGUAUGUUUGCUGUAAUAGGUCAAACAACACACAGAUGAAAAAGGAAAAAGUUAACAGAUUUUCUUUUAAACUAGUAAGUAUUUAAAGGAGGUGGAAUUCAUUCGGUUUCCUUUUAGUCCACUGCCUCAUUUCAUUUAGACCUGAAUAUGUGAGU
Molecule: long non-coding RNA, 1941 nt
Organism: Homo sapiens (human)
Lineage: Eukaryota; Metazoa; Chordata; Mammalia; Primates; Hominidae
Source: Ensembl